This 253-nucleotide ribosomal RNA is filed under the name uncultured bacterium. Its description in RNAcentral is "partial 16S ribosomal RNA". It matches the Rfam family "Bacterial small subunit ribosomal RNA", at positions 524 to 776 of the family's 1533-position model. The record is from RNAcentral.
UACGAAGGGGGCUAGCGUUGUUCGGAUUUACUGGGCGUAAAGGGCGCGUAGGCGGCCUGUUAAGUCGAACGUGAAAUCCCCGGGCUCAACCCGGGAACUGCGUCCGAUACUGGCAGGCUUGAAUCCGGGAGAGGGAUGCGGAAUUCCAGGUGUAGCGGUGAAAUGCGUAGAUAUCUGGAGGAACACCGGUGGCGAAGGCGGCAUCCUGGACCGGCAUUGACGCUGAGGCGCGAAAGCCAGGGGAGCAAACGGG